AUAUUAUUAGCAUAAAAAAAAGAAAAAUAUGUUAAAUGUGAAAGAACGUUUCUUAUUUAGGGGCUAUAAGAGACGGGUCUUCUGGGACACGUGUUGCCCUUUGGAUGUUCAUCUCUUCGUCUCUCUUCUUCUUCUUCUUUUCGAUCGAUUCUGUUCUUCUGAAAGUUUCCGACUUUCAUUCUUAAUUUUUGUUGAAUUUUCUCCAAUCGAAGACCUUGAAAUGUGUGGCCUUGAUCGAUGGAUUGCUGACGUAAUCAGAUCAGAAUCAUCGGAUCUCGAUGUUCAAAAUCAAAUCCUAGGACGAUUGUUUCUCGACGAGUCUCUUCCUUCCUCGUCCGUCUCCUUUGUCUCCUCUAAGAGCUGUUCAGUCAGUUCGUGUCGCUUAGUCUGAAAGUCGAGUGCUUAGAAGACGAAACCGGAACAGAGGACCUCUGUUUUCGUCAGUCAGUUUAUCCAUAAAUGAGAGUAAUGGCGAGGAAGACGGAGAAGGUGGUGAAGGGUAUAAUGGUCAACACGUGUACAAGCCUCCUUCGCUGAAGGAGAAUCGAUCAGGAGCUCUCAACACCACUAAGCAUUUAUGGGUUUGCUGCCAUGGUUUCAAGGUAAUAGUUUUGGUAUCAUAGGGAUUCAUUAGUUAGGCUAAAAUCUGUAGACUUUUUCAAGUGUUUGUGGUUACUACUUAAGUGAUAUGCUCAUUGGGUUAUAGGGUUUUGGUUUGAGCAGAACUUGCAUUGCACCACUUCAGCGGAUGAAGCUAGAGUACAUUGUCUGUGGAGAGCAAAGGAGUCUUCUUGGACUCAUUCAGAGGAUUGCUACCACUGAAGGGAUUAGAGGCUUUUGGAAAGGGAACUUGGUUAAUAUUCUUAGAACCGCUCCUUUCAAGUCCAUCAACUUCUAUGCUUAUGACACAUACAGAGGCCAGCUUCUGAGAUUGUCUGGAAAUGAAGAAACCACUAACUUCGAGAGGUUUGUGGCCGGUGCAGCUGCUGGAGUAACAGCUAGUUUGCUAUGUCUCCCACUUGAUACCGUAAGUUAGAAUCACAACAAAGACUUACCUUGAGUUUGUUUGGACUAUUCCUGAGGUUCUUUAAAUUGUAGAUAAGAACGGUUAUGGUGGCACUAGGUGGAGAGGCAUUAGGCGGUGUGGUUGAUGCGUUCCGUCACAUGAUUCAAACAGAAGGUUUAUUUUCGUUGUACAAAGCCAUACUUGCCUUCAGAGAAACAGUUUUUGAUUACUAGGAAUCGGUGGCUGGCGUACAAAAUGGCAUGUUUAUGUGAAUCUUGCGGUAACAUAACCUUUUGUUUGGAUGAUUCAUUGACUCAGAUUAAGAUUCUUGUUUGUGUAAAUCAAGCUUUGGAUUCGUAUAUCUAUGAAAAUAGAGUUCAUGAGAAUAUGUUUUUGAGAUUGGAUUUUUUUAUAUGUUCUUGUCAGAUGAAGGUUUUGCGUCAAUGUUUGUUUUUGAGUGAUGUUCCCGUCAAUGUUUUGGGAGUUAUUGCCUCGCACGGUUUGGUGGGCAGUCCCAACAAUCUGGCUUCCAGUUGUCUGCUACGUUCUUUCAAUCUCCGCGAGGAAGGGACUGACAUUUCCCCGGAUCGGUUUAAUAGUUGUUUUUGGCGUACUAACCUGGACACUGCUCGAGUACACGCUUUCAUCUCUUCCUUUUCCACAUAGAAACCAAGAGCUACUGGUUAGUUCAAUAUCAUUGAUCAAUUUGAAGUUUUUUUUAUUGUGUAUUGUGGUAAAGUUUGUUGUAAUGAAAGUGUUUUAUAAUUUUUUUUUAAGAAUCCAUAAUUAAGAAACUUGCAAUAAACCAAUUAAAUGUUCAAAUCUCUUUCUAAGUUUCUUAACUCACUUUUACACUUUAAAAACUAUUAAAAAUUAAUUAAGAGACCUUGUAAGGGGUUUUGGGAUAAUGAUGCUCUUAUAAUUCAAAAUCAAUUAAUAAUUAAAUUGAGUUAACAGUUUAUAUAUUACCUUACACUUUCAGACGUGAGAUAUUCAUCCCUACAAUUUUGUGCAGAGUUCACCUCGUGGAAAUUGGAAUAAACGUGGGAACAUUUAAAGUUGCUUACUAAUUUAGUCAGAUGGUCCACUGUUUCCAGUGUGACUGAAACGAAGUGAUCAGAGUUUAGUCAAUUUGUUUCCUCUUUUUUUUUUCCAAGUUAAAGGCAAAGAACACAUGUUUCUCUCAGAGCAACCUCAUUCAUGAAUUUUUCAAUUUAGGUUUCUCAUAUUUAAAAUAACAAUAUUUAGUAUCAUGUGAUUAGAUAGUUAUAAUUUAAUUGUUUAGAAAACUCUAGUGAGACGUUUAUAUAAAAGGACACUUUAUCACUUUUGUUAACGGUAGGAGAAACAUUGUGGUAGUGGAGCACAAUGUUGGGACAGCUGUAAUUAUCUGGACAUAAAUUACCUUCCAGUUGUGAUAGGAAGAUAAUGUUUACUUUAAAGAAUCAACUGUAGAGAAACUAAAUAGUUUUCUGGUUGAAAUAAAUGAAAAAGUUGUAAAAGUAAAAGUAUGUAUAUAUGGAAAGUAUGUAUAUAUGGGUUCAUGAGACUCUUCCUGAACCGUUGAAUUUCUUAUUAGUUUCAAGAUCUAAUGGUUGAGAAUCGUUUAUCAUGGUAUAUCGUGGGUAUUGGUGUGGGUCGUAAUAAAUUUGGUUCCCUUGCAGUCAUUAGUAACAUUGUUGCAUACUUGUGUGGAUGAUGUUAUGUUGAUGCUUAUGCUUUUGGACAUGUUGGGUGUACGAGCUAAUUUCGUAGAAGAUGGAUGUUGUUAAGAUAAGCUUACUGGGACUUUUUAUGUAAAUCACUGUUUUAGUUUUUUUUUUCUCUAGAUCUGGGGACAAAGGAGAAGACGAAGAAAAUAUAUUUAUUAACAAUUGGGGAUAUUUUUCUCGAGGAUGGCAACAAAAUGUUGCGCUUUGGAUGGGAUUGGCGUGGAUGUGUGCGAAGGUGUUAUUUGCGUAUUGAAUCAGUGGUUAGGUUUGUAGUGGACACGCAGUUGUGGACAUGAGAUGAAGGUAAACAUGAGUACGCAAUAUGUUAGUUAAAUACCAAAAGAACCAUGCAUACUGAGUUCGUGGAAUUAAAAUACAUGAGUAACUAUAAGCCGAAGGGCACAUUAAGAGCAAAAACAAAAGGUGCCCAAUAAGUGUAUCAUGUGUUGCUGCAGGAGACGGGUUGCUAAGACUGUUUUGGUUGGGUGAGUUGUGGUCGGGUAAGUCAUGGUUAGGCGUCGGCUGUUCAGCAGACUUAUGGUCAGAGGUUAGGUGGACAGGUGAUGUGUGGUCAGGAGUGGAGUAGUUGUAAAGUGUGUGUUCGGGUGAAGUGUGGAUGGGGGUUGUGUGGUUGGGCGACGAGCAGUGGUGAGGAAUCAAGGAUAGGUGUUGCGGACCUUAUGUUCAGAUCACUGCUGAGAGAGGCAUAUUGCUGGAGCUCGUAUUAGCUGACUACAGGGAAUUGAGAACCGACAUAGACAUCUUCCUUCAUCUGGACAUCAUGUGUGUGAAUGUAACAACAUAAGAGCGAAUUACAUAAACUUGUUCAUGUGACUACACAAUAUGAAGAUAUAUGUGCGUCGAUAUAGACAAAAGUGUUGUGGACAAAUGAAGUUGUACGAGUUUCGUGGAUCCAAUAAUCUUGAAUAGAGAUGGUUGAAAGACAACGUGCAA
This is a long non-coding RNA of Brassica napus (rape), 3672 nucleotides long. RefSeq lists it as uncharacterized. The transcript has 2 exons. The record is from RefSeq and is a predicted model, not a curated record. Lineage: Eukaryota; Viridiplantae; Streptophyta; Magnoliopsida; Brassicales; Brassicaceae.